UGGGGAAUUUUCCGCAAUGGGCGAAAGCCUGACGGAGCAAUACCGCGUGAGGGAGGAAGGCUCUUGGGUUGUAAACCUCUUUUCUCAGGGAAUAAAAAAAUGAAGGUACCUGAGGAAUAAGCAUCGGCUAACUCCGUGCCAGCAGCCGCGGUAAUACGGAGGAUGCAAGCGUUAUCCGGAAUGAUUGGGCGUAAAGCGUCCGCAGGUGGCACUGUAAGUCUGCUGUUAAAGAGCAAGGCUCAACCUUGUAAAGGCAGUGGAAACUACAGAGCUAGAGUACGUUCGGGGCAGAGGGAAUUCCUGGUGUAGCGGUGAAAUGCGUAGAGAUCAGGAAGAACACCGGUGGCGAAAGCGCUCUGCUAGGCCGUAACUGACACUGAGACGAAGCUUAAAUUU
This 396-nucleotide ribosomal RNA is filed under the name Anabaena sp. M3. RNAcentral describes it as "bacterial SSU rRNA". It matches the Rfam family "Bacterial small subunit ribosomal RNA", at positions 355 to 768 of the family's 1533-position model. Lineage: Bacteria; Bacillati; Cyanobacteriota; Cyanophyceae; Nostocales; Nostocaceae. The record is from RNAcentral.